This 29-nucleotide non-coding RNA is filed under the name Homo sapiens (human). The record is from RNAcentral. Lineage: Eukaryota; Metazoa; Chordata; Mammalia; Primates; Hominidae.
UGACUUAACUAUGAGCCAACACUGAUAAC